RNAcentral lists this unclassified non-coding RNA (261 nucleotides) under Hevea brasiliensis (rubber tree). The record is from RNAcentral. Lineage: Eukaryota; Viridiplantae; Streptophyta; Magnoliopsida; Malpighiales; Euphorbiaceae.
CAUUAAGAAUACAAGAAAUUGAAUGACAGGAACAAGAAUCCCAAUUUAUUGAAUAAAAUUAAAUCAAAUCCAUAAGUAAGUUGGAAGUGCCAUAACGUAAUUCUAAAAUAAAGGAAACUACUUAUUUAUGGUGAGAUAUACCAGCAAGUUUAUAAAAUAAGAAAAACAGAACAUGAAGAAACAAAAUUAGAAAAACCCAGAAGAAAAUGCGGCCUUGAACUUUUGGAACUUUAGUUGGAACUUCCUCUAGCAACUCUCCGG